RNAcentral lists this small nuclear RNA (162 nucleotides) under Necator americanus (New World hookworm). RNAcentral's name for it is "U2 spliceosomal RNA". It matches the Rfam family "U2 spliceosomal RNA". Rfam says of the family: U2 is a small nuclear RNA (snRNA) component of the spliceosome (involved in pre-mRNA splicing). Complementary binding between U2 snRNA (in an area lying towards the 5' end but 3' to hairpin I) and the branchpoint sequence (BPS) of the intron results the bulging out of an unpaired adenosine, on the BPS, which initiates a nucleophilic attack at the intronic 5' splice site, thus starting the first of two transesterification reactions that mediate splicing. Lineage: Eukaryota; Metazoa; Nematoda; Chromadorea; Rhabditida; Ancylostomatidae. The record is from Rfam by way of RNAcentral.
GUCGCUUCUCGGCCUUCUGGCUACGAUCAACGUUUAGUUUGUGUUCUUAUCGAAUUAGCCUUCGAUAGAGAUUCGAGUGAGUUCUGUUAACGUUAUCUGAUUUUUACGACCGGAAGAAGUCGUGAGGUUGCUCGCACCUCGUCGUGGGUCGGCCCAACGUUG